This 253-nucleotide ribosomal RNA is filed under the name uncultured bacterium. RNAcentral describes it as "partial 16S ribosomal RNA". It matches the Rfam family "Bacterial small subunit ribosomal RNA", at positions 524 to 776 of the family's 1533-position model. The record is from RNAcentral.
GACGAACCGAGCGAACGUUAUUCGGAAUCACUGGGCUUAAAGGGCGCGUAGGCGGGCCGUCAAGUCAGGGGUGAAAGCCCCCAGCUCAACUGGGGAAGUGCCUCUGAUACUGACGGUCUCGAGGGAGAUAGGGGCGUGCGGAACUUCCGGUGGAGCGGUGAAAUGCGUAGAUAUCGGAAGGAACACCGGUGGCGAAAGCGGCGCGCUGGAUCUCUUCUGACGCUGAGGCGCGAAAGCCAGGGGAGCGAACGGG